CCUUCUACUUUUUUUCCUACUUCCCCGGUCCAGAGCGCUCCACAGACAGCGGGCUAAUACCCCGCAGUAAGAGGUUUACCUGAGCCGAGCCGACUCUGGGUCAGUGGAUUGUACGACUAAACUCCGCCGAUUCUAUUUCCACGAAGAAGACGGAGCGACGUUUCACUGCUGGAGAUCUCCAGCGCUCUGAUGUCACGCCACCAACGUUUCUGACGGAUCCCACCCGGCAGCAGACGACGGGGCCCGCCUGGAGAUCCAGUCCUUCAUCCCUUCAUCCCUUCGGUCUGAGGAGGGAUAACGACGAGAGCGUGUUUGCGUUCUGAAGGGAGAAGAGGAGCCUGGAUAUGGCUUUUCAGUGUAUGAGAGAAAGACACACAGAGCUGAUCUGAGGUCACGGUUCUCCUCCUCUUCCUCCCUCCCCCUCCCCCCGGUUGAGGUUGCUAUCACUACGCUGAGCGAGCUAAAUAUUUGUAUUCUGACUUGGAGAAGCAAAAGGAUCCCCUCGGUUGGGAGGGGCAAAGAGCUUCUUAUCGGGGGAGUUUUGCUUUGCGAGCUAUUCGACGACGUUCAACUUCAUUUCCUGAGAAACUGACUGACCCACAAACAUAUAGAGGUGCUUCCUAGUCGACUGAACGGAGGACACAACAUCUCCAAAUCGCCCCACGCUAACCUGUCAGAAGCAGAAAUGCCGGCAAAGACACCAAUGUACUUAAAGACGCCAACCUCCAAGAAGGGGAAGAGGCUGAGGCUCCGCGAUGUCCUCUCGGGCGAUAUGAUCAGCCCGCCGCUGGGCGACGUGCGCCACAGCGCGCACGUGGGGCCUGAUGGGCAGGGCGACAUGUUUGGUGACGUGGGUUUCCUGCAGGGCAAGUUGGACAUGCUGCCGGCCCUGAGUCGGAUGCAGGACGGCCGCUCGCACAGCGUGGAGAGGCGACUGGACGACGGCCUGGCGGCGAGACAGGACUCGCACAGCUACGCCUACAACGGUUACCACUAUCAGCACUCCUCCACCGGCCUGCUGAAGACCACCAUCUCCAUGCCAGUGUUCAUCGCACACGAGCAGGCGCCGCCCAAGCCCCCGCGCCUCCACCUGGAUGACCCUUCCCCUCCUUCCCUGGCCUCCCAGCAGAACCACUUCCACUGCCAUCAGCAGGCGGCGGACACGGGCCGCCGACUGACCAACGGCCACACGGACGACCACAGCCAGCUCUUGGAGAACGGUGUGGUGGGCCGCCUGGCAUCGGAGGCCUGCCGCGACAUUUCCCUCUCCCCCGCCGUCGGCAGGCUCGUCCCCUCCUCCGGCUCCUUCUCCGAGGUCUCCUCCGAGGACUCCAUGUCGGAAACCUGCGGGCCCCUGGAUGGCCAUCGGGGCCUCAGUCUGGACUCGGACGCAGGCCUGAGCAACGAGGAUUUGAGGAGUGACCGCAGCGAGUCGCCCUGCUCCGCCUUCCAUCCGGCCGGCCUCAUCGUGUCAUCAGGGGUCUCGCGGUCGGACUCUUUGCCGGGGUUGGACCUGGAUCUGGGCCCAUCUAUCAUGGACGACGUGCUGAGCAUCAUGGACCGCUACAAGACCGAGGACAACCGCUGCGAGCUGUGAAGAAACGUUAAUGUGAUGUACUGAUAUUUUUUUAUACGGAUAAAUAAAUCCCUAAAGACUUUGUUAAGAUAGUAAAAGAGGACAGAAGGCAUGGAGGAGUGGAGAAUAUAAAAGGACAAGGUGAGAACGGGUGGACACUGUUGAUAAGUGUCGAGACGCCGCUGCACGACAUGACGACAGCCAAGGCCAGAGGCUGGUCCUUAAGGGCCAUUUAUCAAAACUGAAACUCAUGACACAACAAACUGCAAGCUAAACACACAACCAGCCACAAACAGCAUUGUAUUGUCCUCUUAAUCUGACAUUUUUGCUUGUUAAUGGUUAACAUAAAGCCAAAUGUGUCGGACAUUAAUGUGUCAAGAACCCCCCCCCACACACACACACACACAGCUACUGACUGUCUCACAACAAGAUGUUGUUCAAACACAUUCUCAGUCUGCAAAUGUAAAGAGUGUUACGCUGUCCUGUUCCAUAUUCUGUCCUGAAUAUUAAUAUCUUCACUGGUUUACUGUUCACUUCAAUGCCAGAUGAAAUGUGAAGAACUCCUUUCCUCCCGUAGAACGUGAAGAUGGAAUGAUGUCAAACGGUCUCGACGUAAGAGAACAACAUUUCAGUGACUUUCUUUUCAUUCACAGUGGUGCUCCACAGACAGACAGCACCCCAGCUGAGGACAGGGUUCAACAAAAGGACUAUUUCCUGAUGGCCGUGACAGUGAGCUGGGUAACACAAGGAGAACAUAAUCAGCUACUACUGUUAACACACAACAAUGAGAAUGGGUGUUAUUUAAAGUCUUACAAAUCAAUACUUGACAUUUAGCAGUUCUGGUGGUGCAGUGAGCACUCUGGUAACAAUAUGUGUUCCUCUGUCCGUGGUGCUGGCCCUCAGUAAUUGUCUGGAGUGGUUGUGUGUGCGUUUAAAGCAACGAUGUGUGUGUUUGUCUGCGUGCGUGCGUGCGUGGUUUAGUGGCGCCUGGUGGUGAGGUUGCAGAUUGCAUCCCACUGAAAUCCCCUCAGCUCAGCUGUCCCUUUCCAAGCCUGUGGGAGAACUGUGUGCGCUGUGGUCAUCAGGAAGUAAUACUUUGUCCUACAUUACGUUCAUGAUUGUUCUAUCUAUUCCAUAGAAGGCCACAGACAAUGGGACAAUAGAUCCAGAAGACAACAAUGCAACUCAACGGACGCUGGAUGCCGUACAACCCCACAGAGGAAGUUGGGUCUAUAGUCAGAGUUUGUCUUGGUCUCGGUCUGUCCUGUUAUAUUUGGUUCAUGUCAAGUUAGCGUGACUUAAAUUCAGUUCUGUUCAUUUGACCUCUUUAUUUAUUGUUUGCUUUAUUUUUGGAUGG
RNA transcript from Pseudoliparis swirei, 2933 nucleotides. RefSeq lists it as uncharacterized. Lineage: Eukaryota; Metazoa; Chordata; Actinopteri; Perciformes; Liparidae. The record is from RefSeq and is a predicted model, not a curated record. The transcript has 3 exons.